Molecule: ribosomal RNA, 253 nt
Filed under: uncultured bacterium
Lineage: Bacteria
Description: partial 16S ribosomal RNA
Rfam family: Bacterial small subunit ribosomal RNA
Source: RNAcentral
UACGGAGGGUGCGAGCGUUGUCCGGAAUCACUGGGCGUAAAGGGCGCGUAGGUGGCCCGUCAAGCGCGCGGUGAAAGCCCGGGGCUCAACCCCGGGUCGGCCGUGCGGACUGGCGGGCUCGAGCACUGUAGGGGCGGGUGGAAUUCCGGGUGUAGCGGUGGAAUGCGUAGAGAUGCGGAGGAACACCGAUGGCGAAGGCAGCCCCCUGGGCUGACACUGACGCUCAGGCACGAAAGCGUGGGGAGCAAACAGG